UACGUAGGGUGCAAGCGUUAAUCGGAAUUACUGGGCGUAAAGCGUGCGCAGGCGGUUAUGCAUGACAGAGGUGAAAUCCCCGGGCUCAACCUGGGAACUGCCUUUGUGACUGCAUAGCUAGAGUACGGCAGAGGGGGAUGGAAUUCCGCGUGUAGCAGUGAAAUGCGUAGAUAUGCGGAGGAAAACCGAUGGCGAAGGCAAUCCCCUGGGCCUGUACUGACGCUCAUGCACGAAAGCGUGGGGAGCAAACAGG
RNAcentral lists this ribosomal RNA (253 nucleotides) under uncultured bacterium. RNAcentral describes it as "partial 16S ribosomal RNA". It matches the Rfam family "Bacterial small subunit ribosomal RNA", at positions 524 to 776 of the family's 1533-position model. The record is from RNAcentral.